GAAAUGAGCCCACCCCCUUGUCUCUAUGACACUGUGAUCCAGAGUUAUGUUCAAUACAAAAUCCCUAUGUAAUUUACCAUAGUAGGAAAAACACACUGUUUCAUGGGCACGGCUUCACCAUAGUAAGUCAAUGGGGCAACUUUGGGCAGCUCUUGCGCCCCAGGGGUACAACUUACACCCCAUUUUGAGGUAUGGUCUGACAGAGACUGUCAGCCUCUUCAAACGUGGUAACCCACAUGUUUCUACGAAAUUCUUGUUAGGAGCUAUGACUCGUCAAAGUUCGUCGCAAUGUUAAGUCAAUGGGAUUUUUCGGCUACUUUUUCGCCCGCCGGGCGAACAUCGUACACCCGAUCGCUUAUAAAAGUCAUAGCACACCUCUCCUCAAUGAGCCGGUCGAUUUGACACCUCAUUCAUGGGUCUAGGACAAAAACUGCGGGACAAGUUACGCGCCGAAGUUUUGUCCAGAAGAAGAAGAAGAAUAAUAAUAACUAGAAUGUACAUUUCCUGAAGAAAAUGUGAAUGGUGCUUGCAGUGGCAAUACUCGGCACUCUUGAUUAGCAUGAUGCUAACAUAAUUAGCAUGUUGUUAGCAUGUUUUUAGCAAGAUGCUAACAUGAUUAGCAUGUUGCUAGCAUGAUGCUAGCAUUCUUGCCAUGUUGCUAACAUGUUUUUAGCAAGAUGGUAACAUGAUUAACAUGUUGCUAGCAUGUUUUUAACAAGAUGCUAACAUUAUUAGCAUGUUGCUAGCAUGAUGGUAACACGAUUAGCAUGUUGCUAGGAUGAUGCUAACACAAUUAGCAUGUUGCUAGCAUGAUGCUAACACAAUUAGCAUGUUGCUUGCAUGAUGCUAACACAAUUAGCAUGUUGCUAACAUGAUGCUAACACAAUUAGCAUGUUGCUAGCAUGAUGCUAACACGAUUAGCAUGUUGCUAAUGUGAUUUUGGCAAGAUGCUAACAUGAUUAGCAUGUUUGCUAGCAUGAUGCUAACGUGAUUAGCAUGCUACUAGCAUGAUGCUAACUCAAUUAGUAUGCUACUAGCAUGAUGCUAACACAUUUUUACUUGUUUGUGUCAUGUAUAAAACCUAAGCUAAUUGCUAUUAGCACGUAGCUAUUCACUGCUAGCAUGUGUAGCAUGUUGCAAGUCCAGUUUGCUAGCAUGAGUCAAAAAGAACCAACCGCCAUGUCUCUACGAUGUUCUGAUGCAGAGAUAUAGGUCUUUCAAAACGGUUGCUAGGGUACUCUGUUUGGUUGCUAGGGAGUGGCUUGGCAGCUGCCAAUGAUGAUACUCCAAAGGCUGCUUGCCAAUAUAAACCAACCCCCAUGUCUCUACGAUGUUCUGAUACAGAGAAAUAGGCCUUGCAAAAUGGUUGCUAGGGUACUCUAUUUGGUUGCUAGGGAGUGGCUUAGCAGCUGCCAGUGAUGAUACUCCAAAGCUGCUUGCUAGUAUGAAUGAUAUAAACCAACCACCAUGCCUCUAUGAUAUUCAGAUUUGAAGAUAUCCCUCUAUGCUUUGGGUUGCUAGGGUGCUCUAAAUGGUUGCUAGGGCGUGGCUAUGAAGUCUUGAAGGUGACUCGUGACUGGCCGUAUGCUGCACCGAGUUAAAUGAGCCCACCCUCAUGUUUCUAUGACACUUCCAUCCAAAGAUAUUCCUUUGAUCUUUUUCAAUGGAAGUCUAUGGAACUUGUUGCUAUGGUGCUCUAUAUGGUUGCUAGGGCGUGGCUUGAUAGCUUCACAAUGAUCCUGAGAGACUGAUUGGUUGCCUGAGUAAAAUGAGCCCACCCCCUUGUCUCUAUGACACUGUGAUCCAGAGUGAUGUUCAAUACAAAAUCCCUAUGUAAUUUACCAUAGUAGGAAAAACACACUGUUUCAUGGGCACGGCUUCACCAUAGUAAGUCUAUGGGGCCACUUUGGGCAGCUCUUGCGCCCCAGGGGUACAACUUACACCCCAUUUUGAGGUAUGGUCUGACAGAGACUGUCAGCCUCUUCAAACGUGGUAACCCACAUGUUUCUACGAAAUUCUUGUUAGGAGCUAUGACUCGUCAAAGUUCGUCGCAAUGUUAAGUCAAUGGGAUUUUUCGGCUACUUUUUCGCCCGCCGGGCGAACAUCGUACACCCGAUCGCUUAUAAAAGUCAUAGCACACCUCUCCUCAAUGAGCCGGUCGAUUUGACACCUCAUUCAUGGGUCUAGGACAAAAACUGCGGGACAAGUUACGCGCCGAAGUUUUGUCCAGAAGAAGAAGAAUAAUAAUAAUAACUAGAAUGUACAUUUCCUGAAGAAAAUGUGAAUGGUGCUUGCAGUGGCAAAACUCGGCACUCGGUUGCUAGGGUGUUUCUAGGCAAUUGCUAAGGGGUUCUGGGUGGUUGCUAGGUGGUUGCUAUGGUAACCUGGGUGGUUGCUAGGCGGUUGCUAGGCAGUUGGUAAGGUACUUGGGGCGGUUGCUAAGGUGUUGCUAGGCGGUUGCUAGGGUGUUCUGGGUGGUUGCUAGGCGGUUGCUAUGGUAACCUGGGUGGUUGCUAGGCGGUUGCUAGGCAGUUGGUAAGGUACUUGGGGCAGUUGCUACGGUGUUGCUAGGUGGUUGCUAGGGUGUUAUGGGUGGUUGCUAGGCAGUUGCUAUGGUAACCUGGGUGGUUGCUAUGAUGUUACUAGGUGGUUGGUAGUUGUCACAGAUGGUUACUAUGGUGUUUUUAUAGAGUUCUUAGCAUGUUCUUAGCCCACUUUAGCACUUAGCUAAUCACCAUUAGCAUGUAGCUAUUCACUGCUAGAAUGUGUAGCAGGUUGGAAGUCCAGUUUGCUAGCAUGAGUCGAAAGAGCCAACCGCCAUGUCUCUACGAUGCUCUGAUGCAGAGAUAUAGGUCUUGCUAAACGGUUGCUAGGGUACUCUGUUUGGUUGCUAGGGAGUGGCUUAGCAGCUGCCAAUGAUGAUACACCAAAGGCUGCUUGCCAAUAUAAGCCAACCGCCAUGUCUCUACGAUGUUCUGAUGCAGAGAUAUAGGUCUUGAAAAACGGUUGCUAGGGUACUCUGUUUGGUUGCUAGGGAGUGGCUUGGCAGCUGCCAAUGAUGAUACUCCAAAGGCUGCUUGCCAGUAUGAAUGAUAUAAAUCAACCCCCAUGCCUCUAUGAUAUUGAGAUUUAAAGAUAUCGCUCUAUGCUGUGGGUUGCUAGGGUGCUCCAAAUGGUUGCUAGGGCGUGGCUAUGAAGUCUUUAAGGUGAUUCGUGAUUGGCCGUUUGCUCUCCCGAGUCAAAUGAGCCCACCCUCAUGUUCCUAUGACACUUCUAUCCAAAGGACUAUCUUUGACCUUUUUGAAUGGAAGUCUAUGGAACCUGUUGCUAGGGUGCUCUAUAUGGUUGCUAGGGCGUGGCUUCAUAGCGUCACAUUGAUCCUGAGAGACUGAUUGGUUGCCUGAGUGAAAUGAGCCCGCCCCCUUGUCUCUAUGACACUGUGAUCAAUAGUGAGAGAUGUGAGUGAGUGAGAGAAAGGGUUCUAAGGCCCUGCGUGUGUGUGCGUGUGUGAGAAAGUGACAGUUGAGAUUCAAAUUUCUGAACAUUCCGCCAUUGAAAGUCAAUGGGACUUUUUUGGCCGCUUUUUCGCCCCCUGUGCGAACAUCGUUGGGCCGAUCGCUUAUAAAAGUCAUAGCACACCUCUCCUCAAUGAGCCGGUCGAUUUGACACCUCAUUCAUGGGUCUAGGACAAAAACUGCGGGACAAGUUACGCGCCGAAGUUUUUGUCCAGAAGAAGAAUAAUAA
This is a long non-coding RNA of Ctenopharyngodon idella (grass carp), 3744 nucleotides long. RefSeq lists it as uncharacterized. NCBI's taxonomy places the organism in Eukaryota, Metazoa, Chordata, Actinopteri, Cypriniformes, Xenocyprididae. The transcript is spliced from 2 exons. The record is from RefSeq and is a predicted model, not a curated record.